UCGGGAAUUUUGCGCAAUGGGCGAAAGCCUGACGCAGCAACGCCGCGUGAGGGAUGAAGGCCUUCGGGUUGUAAACCUCUUUUCUCAGGGACGAUAAUGACGGUACCUGAGGAAUAAGCCACGGCUAACUACGUGCCAGCAGCCGCGGUAAUACGUAGGUGGCGAGCGUUGUCCGGAUUUACUGGGCGUAAAGAGCGCGCAGGCGGUCGUGCAAGUCGCGUGUGAAAGCCCCCGGCUCAACUGGGGAGGGUCACGCGAUACUGCUCGACUUGAAGGCAGGAGAGGGAAGCGGAAUUCCCGGUGUAGUGGUGAAAUGCGUAGAUAUCGGGAGGAACACCAGUGGCGAAGGCGGCUUCCUGGCCUGUUCUUGACGCUGAGGCGCGAAAGCUAGGGGAGCAAACGGG
This 404-nucleotide ribosomal RNA is filed under the name uncultured Chloroflexota bacterium. RNAcentral describes it as "bacterial SSU rRNA". It matches the Rfam family "Bacterial small subunit ribosomal RNA", at positions 355 to 776 of the family's 1533-position model. The record is from RNAcentral. Lineage: Bacteria; Bacillati; Chloroflexota.